CUUAACCUGAAGCACCACUUUAGCUAAUGGGGCCUCCUGCUGCUGCCGCACCGCUGGAGCACGAUUUCUGUUCUCAUCCUGAAGCAAAGUUCUUAACCUGAAGCACUAUUUCUGGGUUAGCGGAGUCUGUAACCUGAAGCGUAUGUAACCCGAUGUACCACUGUACCCCAAAACAUUUUUUUAGAAAAGCACUGAGUAUAGUUAUGGAUAUCAUGCCAUCCCAAAGGCUCUGCACUAUACACAAGGACCACAACAUAUGCUUUGCUCCGAUGGCAUGGGCAUCUCUAACUGGCCUCUAGGCGUCACUGGACUCCCAUCACAUCUGGCAAAUGGCCUUGCUGGCUUAGGGCUGAUGGGAAUUGGAGUCCCGCAAUUCCCUUCCUACUUCACAGCAUAUUUCUGCUGACUCUUCUUUGGGAAAAGCCGAAGCUCAAGGAUACCACCGGCAGGCAGCGUCCGCAAACGCCACCUCCGCAGUGCCAUAGGGCCAGGGCCCGUUUUGCAGGCAGAAGGUCCCGGGUUCAAAUCCCCGAUGGGGCAGCUCAGGGCAGGACAGGGAAUGUGACCCUGCAGGGCAGCUGCCAGUCAGUGCGGACAAUGCUGAGGUCAAUGAUGGGUCUGCUUCAGGGGUAAGUCGUUUUCCUGCGUUCCUCGUUAAGUAGGUACAUUGCAUUAAGUAAAACGACCCCUGGAAAAAGCCCCCCCACCCCCCGCUCAGCCGGGGCUGACUUCUGAGCAGGCGCUCGUGACGUCACUUCCCCGCCCCGGGGAACCCCGCGCUCCUCCCUUGACGACGUUCCCGUUGCCAAGGUGAGACGUGGCGGGCAGGGGAAGGAGGAGGGUUCGGCUGUUUCCAUGGCGACGGGUAAACAGGAGGCGGAGCUUCCCGGAGCCGGCAGCGGAGGGCGAGAUGCCGGGCAGUGUAUGCUCCUUGGGUGCUACCUCCACCAGCUCCUCGGGCCGGUCCCGCUCGCGCUCCCACGCCCGCUACAGAACCAAGGCUGCCAGCUCAGAAGUGGACGAGAGCCUCUUUGGGCUUGCCAAGGUGAGGACGGAGGGGAGCAGUGGCUGCUUUGGGCUAAGAGCAUCUGCCUGGCAUGCAGAAGGUCCCAGACCUUCAAUCCCUGACACCUCCCUUUAGGGCUGGGGAUACCCCAGCCUGAAACACUGGAAAGCUGUUGCCACUAUACUGAACUAAUGAUCUGACUGGGUAGAAGGCAGAUUCCGGUGUUCCUCUUUAAAUCAGACCUGUAUUUAGA
This 1259-nucleotide long non-coding RNA is filed under the name Podarcis muralis (Common wall lizard). Its description in RNAcentral is "lncRNA (ENSPMRG00000018441.1)". The record is from RNAcentral. Lineage: Eukaryota; Metazoa; Chordata; Lepidosauria; Squamata; Lacertidae.